This 2144-nucleotide unclassified non-coding RNA is filed under the name Hevea brasiliensis (rubber tree). Lineage: Eukaryota; Viridiplantae; Streptophyta; Magnoliopsida; Malpighiales; Euphorbiaceae. The record is from RNAcentral.
AAACAUUCAAAAAAAAAAAUUGCCUUGUUAUAUUUUUUAAUAUUAUUUUCUUACUACAGUGAGGUGAUACUACGACUAGGAGUUCACCUUCCCAGCUCCGUAAAAAGCUGGCCGUUCGAAACAGCCAUUUAAUGGUAAAAGUUUGAAAUUUCUAAUACAAAUUCUUAAGUUUUAUCUUCUAAUAUAAAUCUGUUUGGCUGCUGAGGAAACACCAGAAAAGAAGAGUAUGUCAGUCUUAUUUGUUAUGCUUUAGUUUCUUCCACAGGUUCUAGCACUGCUCAACCAUCCACAGUAAUUACAAAAUAAAACUUGUACCUUUAUAUGAUGUGCUGCUUUUGUUUCGCUUGUCAUUCGUGAAUUGAAGAACAAGAUUUGGUACAACUGUUGGUUGUUCCUUCUCAUCCAAAUGACAUGUAGCUUGGAUUGGGAAAAUGCAAUGACACCAACUGCAUCAAUGAAUUGCCACUUCAAAUUAGAUCUAAUAAACGUAAUAAAAGGAUAAUACAAGCACCAGAGAGCCAGAAACUCGAUUGAGAAAACUAUUAUAUUUCAGCAUAUCUCAUACAAUAAGGGACUUCUAUAGGAUGCAAUCAGGAAAAAGAAAUCUUUGAAUUGGUAUUACUAAUCCGAAUAAUAGAAGGAAAAAUCUUUUAGAUCUCUAAAAGUGCCUAUGAAGCAUAGUAAUUCUUUAAAGCUUUGUUCAAUGAAACAUGAGCUUUUGUGAGUGAUAUUUACCUUAGAAGAUGUUAGUAUCUCAAGACAUGAGAUAAAAUGCAAUGCUCAAUAAUUUGAAAGAUGGUUCAUGACAUGAUACACAAGCUAACAAGUCAUAUCAAUACAUAAGAUUUCUCAAAAGAAAACUGAUUUAUUGGAUGACAUACAGUAAACUCUCGGGAAGAGAUGAGUUUCAAUAUUGGUAGAUGAAUGCCAAAAGCACAUGAUGCUACAGAAAGUAGAAAACCAGAACAUUGAAAGUAUUAUUUAACUGUUUCCAGUAGAAGAAAAGCGAGGCAUGUAAAAAAUAAAACGAAGCAACAGGUUCACAUUAUCAGAGAUCUAUGUAGAACCAUGCUAUUCAGUAAGAAAAGAGAAUAAAUUAAUAACAGUCAUGCCCACAACUUACAGAGGUGACCUUAGACUCCCAGAUUCCAGACACUGAAAAAUAUUUGAUACUAUAACAACAGUGUCAGGAGAACUUUCUCUGGCAAAUCUCAGACUAAGCAAACCAUUCCCUGUCAACUUGACCAGGGAAAGAACAGAACUUUUUUCUUCUAUUGCAUCCAUCUCUUUUGAAAGCCCAUCUGUGUCCUCACUAACGCUCUUGCUUUUCAUGCCUUCAGCACUUGUUCUAACUAUUUCAUCAAUCUGUGUUUUCCUUCUCUUAGUGCUUUGGCUUGCAUUGGAGCUUUCCAAACAUUCAGAGGCCCCACAGUUAUAGGACCCUAUAUACUAUAAAAGAAAAAGAACUAGAAAAAUCAAAGUAUUAGCACUGACAGCAAAAUAUAUUUCUAAUAUGUGAUCUCUCAUUACAUGUUAUAUCACAGAUGAAACUCCAAGAGAACAGAAUGAAGGUGUACUCAAGUAGUCACCUAAUUUAUCAGGCUGAGAGCCCAGAAGGCCUUCCGCCCAUAAUCAAGUUAAAAAUAUAUCAACAUCUUUUCCUAUCAAGGGAGUCCAAAUUCGAAAAUAUGUGGAAGAAAAUGUCAGCUCAUGGACCCAAUAAAAUGAUAAAGAUACCUUUUCAAAUGAACACUUUUAAAAUGAGAAAGCAGAAAACUGAUACACUCUUGAAGUUCAUUUAACUUAUCAGCACCUUUCCAAAAUCUAAUACUCAGAAACCUUCCUAACCGUGAAAUUGAAAAAUGCAACUGAAUGAGUAUUGCCCUCCAGAAGAACACCUAGAUAAGUUAAAAGGCCAUGAUUAAGUCACAAAUUCAUUCUACCAAAGAAGUGAAACCAGAGAAAGUCUCAUAGAAAGGUCCCAGUGACAAUCAUAGUUAUUAAGGGCGCACCUCUGACAUGCCUCAGGCUCAAGGCUCAUAAGGCUCGAACCCUAGCGCCUUAUGUGCCUAGGUGUGCGCCUUUGUUCCUAACACAAGAUUCUGGAAAGGCAUGCCUUCUUUAUUUCCAUCUUUAGCGAGCAC